This 207-nucleotide ribosomal RNA is filed under the name uncultured Acidithiobacillus sp. RNAcentral's name for it is "partial 16S ribosomal RNA". It matches the Rfam family "Bacterial small subunit ribosomal RNA", at positions 568 to 774 of the family's 1533-position model. The record is from RNAcentral. Lineage: Bacteria; Pseudomonadati; Pseudomonadota; Acidithiobacillia; Acidithiobacillales; Acidithiobacillaceae.
CGCGUAGGCGGUGGGUUACGUCUGCCGUGAAAUCCCCGGGCUCAACCUGGGAAUGGCGGUGGAAACGGGCUGACUAGAGUAUGGGAGAGGGUGAUGGAAUUCCAGGUGUAGCGGUGAGAUGCGUAGAGAUCUGGAGGAACAUCAGUGGCGAAGGCGGUCACCUGGCCCAAUACUGACGCUGAGGCGCGAAAGCGUGGGGAGCAAACA